CUACUUCCAAAAACAUUCAGCUUUGAUAUUAAUGAGUUUUUGGGUUCAUUGAGAACAUGGUUGUUGUUCAAUAAUAAAAUUAUUCCUCAAAAAUACAACUUGCCUAAUAAUUCUGCACUCCCUGUAUAUUCCCUGUUCACACACGACUGUGUUGCUAAACACGAGUCCAACAUCAUCAUCAAGUUUGCGGAUGACACAACCAUCAUAGGCCUCAUCACAGAAAACGACGAGACAGCCUAUAGAGAGGAGGUGAUGGCGCUGUGCAGUGGUGUCUGGAAAAUAACCUGACUCUCAACAUCAGCAAAACCAGAGAAAUGAUAGUGGACUACUGGAAACGACCAGUCAGGGAACACCAGCCCAUCCACAUCAACGGUGUCAAGGUCGAAAGGGUCAGCAGUUUCAAAUUCCUUGGAGUCAACAUCACCGAGGACUUCUCCUGGACCCUUCACACAGACACUGCUAUCAGUAAAGCUCGCCAGCGGCUUUACUUCCUGAGGAGGCUGAGGAAGUUUGGCAUGAACGCCAACAUCACCUCAAAUUUCUACAGGUGUGCAAUCGAGAGCUUGCUGACGAGCUGCAUUACAGUUUGGUACGGAAGCUGCUCUGCCAGCAGCCGUAAAUCACUACAGAGGGUGGUGAAGGCAGCAGAGCACAUCACUGGCACGAGGCUUCCUGCCAUUCAGGACAUUUAUCUCCAGCGACGCCUCCGUAAAGCACACAGCAUCAUCAAGGACCAUCAGCUCUUCUCCUUGUUACCAUCUGCAGACGUUACAGGAGUCUGUCUGCUCGCACUACAAGACUUAAAAACAGUUUUUACCACCAAGCCAUACGACACCUCAACCACAACACUUAAACACACACAGCACAGGACGCACUCAGAAGCUACCCUGCAGCUUCACAAGUACUCUGUUUAAUCUGCACUGGUCACUCCACUUUAUUGUUAUUGAUAUUUAUAUUUAAAAAGUGCAAUACUGUAAUUUUCUGCUGCUCAUUCCUGUGCAAUAUCCCAUCUGCCCUCCCGUCAUAUUUCUUUUCAAGAUUUUCUUAUUUAAUCACUAGUGUACAUAUAUUUAUAUUUAUAGAUACAUAUAUAUUUAGUCAUCUUUUCUCUUUUACCAUGUCUCUGUAAUAUUUUGCUCUUUACUAUUUUUCUAUUUAUUUUUUUAUUAUUUUAUUUUAUUUUAUUUUUAACUGACUUUAACUGAUCAAACACACACAUCCACACAUGUGCAAUAACACUAAGUGCAAUACUCUUUUUUGGCAUCGUUGUAUUAUAAUCUGCAGAGGAAUGCCUUUUUUGAAGAGUGUCAGUCAGGUUUCAGAGCUCAUCACAGCUUUAAUAAUAAUAAUAAUGGAUUGGAUUUAUAUAGCGCUUUUCAAGGCACCCAAAGCACUUUACAAUGUCAUUCAUGCUCACAUUCAUACACUGGUGGAGGCAAGCUACUGUUGUAUGUAGCCACAGCUGCCCUGGGGCAGACUGACAGAAGCGAGGCUGCCAUAUCGCGCCACCGGCCCCUCUGGCCAACACCAGCAGGCGGUAGGGUAAAGUGUCUUGCCCAAGGACACAACGAGAGGCCAAGGACAGAGAGGCCAGGGAUCGAACCGGCGACCUUCCGGUUACAGGUGCCCUUCCCAACCCCCUGAGCCACGGUCACCUUUAGUGAAGGUUACAAAUGAUCUUCUUAUGGCCUCUGACAGUGGACUCAUCUCUGUGCUUGUCCUGCUAGACCUCAGUGCUGCGUUCGAUACUGUUGAUCAUAAUAUCCUAUUAGAGCGAUUAGAACAUGCUGUAGGUAUUACAGGUACUGCACUGCAGUGGUUUGUAUCAUAUCUAUCUAAUAGACUCCAAUUUGUUCAUGUAAAUGGAGAGUCCUCUUCACACACUAAGGUCAAUUAUGGAGUUCCACAGGGUUCGGUGCUAGGACCAAUUCUGUUUACAUUAUACAUGCGUCCCCUAUGGGGGAGCAAAAUAAAAAAAAACUCAGAAAAAUAAAGGUGCCAACUGGAACCAAAAGUGGUUCUUUAGACUGAUGCCAUAGAAGAACCUUUUUUGGUGCGACAAAGAACCUUUUAAACAAUGGUUCUUUGAAGAACCUUUAAAGGUUCCUCAAAGAACCAUCAAGAAAUGGUUCUUUGGUAGGGAUGCACCGAUCCCGAUACUGGUAUCGGGUAUCGGGGCCGAUACUGUAAAAUGUGUGCGUACUCAUACUCGUAAAAGUUAACCGAUACCAUGAACCGAUACUAAUGUAGCCCGGAUGGGAAUUUGGUAGUAGAUACUCAUAAUUCCCAUGGACUUGAACGCCACAUAAGGUGUUCACAGUUCACAGAAGAGAACGGCAUGGAGAGAUGCACGAGGUUAGCUGAACCAAAGUGAGAGACUCGGCUAGUUUUACUGAGGUUAACUUGCACAAAAGAGUGUGUGACUAGAAAGCUAACCGUGUGAGAGCUUCGCAACAGAGUGUGGGUGAAGUGACUUUUUGUUUCAACGGUCGCACCACCGUGGAAAACUGUGCUUCCAGCCAUGACCGCCGAGGCUAAAGGCUAGCUCGGACUGCUUGGCUGCGCCACGGAGGCAGCUGCUAUGGACUGGCUAACGCGCUGUAGCAGAGACAGCAUCGGGUCCGCAGGGAGUGGAUUUAGUGUGGGACUGGUGAAUGGCGACCUACCGAGCAACGGAACUGUAAGUCAGACUUUUGUGCUCUUACUGGGGAGAAGAGGAUUUUUCUCCAUCGUCCGGCGUGAGCAGCAAACAGGCCUGCAACAAGUGUGAAUGUGAGUGUGUGUGGGGCCCAUGUGUGAAUAUUGUAUGUUUAGUGGAUUUAUAUAACGUGUUUUGGAGUGUAUAUUAGUGAGUCACUUACCAAAAGGUGAUAACACAAGUUGGGUUGUUUAAUAUAAUUUGAAAGGGAAUUAUGUCAUUUAUACAGUGUAUUUCAUUUGGUUAAGGAAUUGGAAUAUCAAUAUCAUAAAAAAGGGAUGUGUUGUACAGUAUUUGUCUCUGCCCUUACGUUCAGUAAACGUUUCGUUUGUGUUAAAGAGUUGUGUGGGGUCGUUUCUUUACUACUGGUUAAGUUUAACUUGUGUGUGGUAGAAGUAUCGGUUUUUGUACUCGGUAUCGGCAAGUACUCAGAUCCAAGUAUCGGUAUCGGAUCGGUUUGAAAAAAUUGGUAUCGUUGCAUCCCUAUUCUUUGGGGAACCUUUAAUGGUUUUUCAAAGAACCUUUUUAAAAAUGGUUCUUUAAAGAACCAUUAUAAAUCUUUCAAAAUAAAAUGUAUCAUAAAUUAAAUAUGAGUAGGGUAAAAUAAAUACGAGCACAGCAUAGACAUAUAUUAAUGGUUUAUUGCCAUUUCGUAAUAUACCAAAAGACAAAAAGGCAUUUUAACCCUCAGCACAACAUCACUACUAAUACAUGUCACAUAUUAGUUAUUUAAACAGUAAUAAUUAAACAUUUUUACUAUACUAUAAACAAAUGUAUAUAAAAACUAUAUCUAUAGAUAACACAACAAUUAAUACAUGUAUUGUUUAAUUAAUAAAACAUCAGAAAGUGAUAAAAACACAUUAGAAAUAGCAAUAGCUUCAUAACAGACCAAUAAAUCAACACAUUUUCAUCAGCAGAUGUUUGCAUGACCAGUAAAAAUAUUUCAACAACAAGUUUUCGAUUAAAAUUAUCAAUGAACUUCAGCCUUACCUUAUGCAAGGUAAGUUUCAUGUUGGACUCCUGGUUCUUUGUUAGUCCAGUUUAGGAUAAUGUCUCUGACGUAUGUAUCAUAUCAAAUAUGUCAUAUGAAAACAACCCCACACCUGCAGUUGUUUCAGUUUUUCAUAGGUGUUUCCUGUCAGCUGGUCAACCUCACUCAGGCGGGCAUCCAUAUCAGCCAACCAAACGACAAGCUCCUCCCUUUGUGCUUCAAAUCCCUCCCACUCUGAGACAAGGAGGUGAGAGAGAGAAAACAAGGGUCAAUUAUAAAGAAGAGAGAAAAGUGAAACCCUCCUGAGAAGGUCUGACUCGCAUACCUGCAGUCGACCUGUGAUGGACUCCUGUUUGGCGUUCACGUCAUCCCAGCGGUGGCCGCACUCCCUCGCUAUUGCCAGCAGCCGAGUCUGGGUGUCCUGGAAGAGCAGAGUUAAUGUUCGAUGCCUUCUGAUCAGGCUCUCCAGCUGGAUGAGUCGAGGUCCCACCUCUCACCGCUACCUCUGAACACACAAACACAAAUUGCAUGUGAAGCACGAGGUGCAGAUUUUUUUGCUAUUCUUUUCUAAAUCCAGGCUUGAUAACGUGGAGGUAUUUGGAAAACCUUUUUGACCAGCGGAUGAUUGUUGUCUCGCAGAAAGUCAAAUCAAAUGUAUGCGAUACACAAUUAAUUCACAAGAACACAUUAUAAAGAAAGUCCCAUUCUUACGUGAUUUCAACUGAAUUCUGCAUCAAAACAGGAAAACAGAAUUAAAACGAGAGUUUGCAGCAAAUGUGAACACAAAGCCUCACUUUGUACAAGCCUGCUAUUAAAGUUCUCCUCUAUGCAGACGACUUUCCUGUUUUCAAGGCAUAACUUGGAUCUGCUGAACAAAUCUUAUAGAUACACGCUAAAUGAAACAGUAGUGUGCACGACUCCAGAUUCUGAUCCCUCGUCCUAAUAUGGUCCCAAAAGGCUCACAAAAAACAACAGCAAAAGCAAUAAAGCAAAUGUUGAGG
This is a long non-coding RNA of Oreochromis aureus, 4690 nucleotides long. The record is from Ensembl. NCBI's taxonomy places the organism in Eukaryota, Metazoa, Chordata, Actinopteri, Cichliformes, Cichlidae.